This 191-nucleotide unclassified non-coding RNA is filed under the name soil metagenome. Its description in RNAcentral is "partial internal transcribed spacer 1". The record is from RNAcentral.
CAUUCAGUAGCUUGCUACUGUUAGGGGGGUCCAUUAGUCUGUAUAGUAUCACUACUGAUGAGCAGCACGACUCCCUGUCUAUACCCUUGUCUUUUGCGCACUCAUGUUUCCUCGGCGGCUUGACACCCGCCGGCUGGAUCAAUCUAUAACCUCUUUAAUUUUCAAUCAGCGUCUGAAAAACCUAAUAAUUA